GCCCCGGUAGCUCAGCCCGGUCAGAGCGGCGGCCUCGUAAGCCGUUGGUCGGGGGUUCAAAUCCCCCCCGGGGCUCCA
RNAcentral lists this transfer RNA (78 nucleotides) under Candidatus Bathyarchaeota archaeon ex4484_135. RNAcentral describes it as "tRNA-Thr". It matches the Rfam family "tRNA". From Rfam's summary of the family: Transfer RNA (tRNA) molecules are approximately 80 nucleotides in length. Their secondary structure includes four short double-helical elements and three loops (D, anti-codon, and T loops). Lineage: Archaea; Thermoproteati; Candidatus Bathyarchaeota. RNAcentral also lists the same sequence under 2 other names. The record is from RNAcentral.